This 301-nucleotide ribosomal RNA is filed under the name uncultured bacterium. RNAcentral's name for it is "partial 16S ribosomal RNA". It matches the Rfam family "Bacterial small subunit ribosomal RNA", at positions 509 to 807 of the family's 1533-position model. The record is from RNAcentral.
CAGUAGCCACGGUAAUACGGAGGGUGCAAGCGUUAAUCGGAUUUACUGGGCGUAAAGCGUGCGUAGGCGGCUAAUUGAGUCGGAUGUGAAAUCCCCGAGCUUAACUUGGGAAUUGCAUUCGAUACUGGUUAGCUAGAGUGUGGGAGAGGAUGGUAGAAUUCCAGGUGUAGCGGUGAAAUGCGUAGAGAUCUGGAGGAAUACCGAUGGCGAAGGCAGCCAUCUGGCCUAACACUGACGCUGAGGUACGAAAGCAUGGGGAGCAAACAGGAUUAGAUACCCGAGUAGUCCCUGUCUCUUAUAC